UUUUUAUGGAGAGUUUGAUCCUGGCUCAGGAUGAACGCUGGCGGCGUGCCUAAUACAUGCAAGUCGAGCGAACAGACGAGGAGCUUGCUCCUCUGACGUUAGCGGCGGACGGGUGAGUAACACGUGGAUAACCUACCUAUAAGACUGGGAUAACUUCGGGAAACCGGAGCUAAUACCGGAUAAUAUAUUGAACCGCAUGGUUCAAUAGUGAAAGACGGUUUUGCUGUCACUUAUAGAUGGAUCCGCGUC
RNAcentral lists this ribosomal RNA (249 nucleotides) under Staphylococcus epidermidis NIHLM088. RNAcentral's name for it is "partial 16S ribosomal RNA". It matches the Rfam family "Bacterial small subunit ribosomal RNA", at positions 1 to 237 of the family's 1533-position model. The record is from RNAcentral. Lineage: Bacteria; Bacillati; Bacillota; Bacilli; Caryophanales; Staphylococcaceae.